This 283-nucleotide long non-coding RNA is filed under the name Brachypodium distachyon (stiff brome). RNAcentral's name for it is "long non-coding RNA (BDIS_LNC000607)". The record is from RNAcentral. Lineage: Eukaryota; Viridiplantae; Streptophyta; Magnoliopsida; Poales; Poaceae.
CAACCAUUCUGUAAAUAGCUGCUGUCUAAGUUGUUCAAAACUGAAAUUAAAUAGUGCCAAAAUAAUCUACACGUUGUGACGAUUCCAGAAAGGCGCGGAUCACAAUUUUUGGACAAACAGUUUGAAAGAUAUGAGACUUUGAAGUUACAGGGGCUUUUCUGGAAAAUGUGCAAUAAUUAUUUCGGCCGAAAAAGAAUAAAACAAUAAAAUAAAAAUCUCGCCACGUGGCAGCGCACGAUAGGUCGGGACAUAGGGUUCUGGCCGGCGGCGGCGCGGUCGGGUC